AUUGAACGCUGGCGGCAGGCCUAACACAUGCAAGUCGAGCGGAUGAAGGGAGCUUGCUCCUGGAUUCAGCGGCGGACGGGUGAGUAAUGCCUAGGAAUCUGCCUGGUAGUGGGGGAUAACGUCCGGAAACGGGCGCUAAUACCGCAUACGUCCUGAGGGAGAAAGCGGGGGAUCUUCGGACCUCACGCUAUCAGAUGAGCCUAGGUCGGAUUAGCUAGUUGGUGGGGUAAAGGCCUACCAAGGCGACGAUCCGUAACUGGUCUGAGAGGAUGAUCAGUCACACUGGAACUGAGACACGGCCCAGACUCCUACGGGAGGCAGCAGUGGGGAAUAUUGGACAAUGGGCGAAAGCCUGAUCCAGCCAUGCCGCGUGUGUGAAGAAGGUCUUCGGAUUGUAAAGCACUUUAAGUUGGGAGGAAGGGCAGUAAGUUAAUACCUUGCUGUUUUGACGUUACCAACAGAAUAAGCACCGGCUAACUUCGUG
This 484-nucleotide ribosomal RNA is filed under the name uncultured bacterium. RNAcentral describes it as "partial 16S ribosomal RNA". It matches the Rfam family "Bacterial small subunit ribosomal RNA", at positions 30 to 507 of the family's 1533-position model. The record is from RNAcentral.